Molecule: ribosomal RNA, 286 nt
Filed under: uncultured bacterium
Lineage: Bacteria
Description: partial 16S ribosomal RNA
Rfam family: Bacterial small subunit ribosomal RNA
Source: RNAcentral
GACGAACGCUGGCGGCGUGCUUAACACAUGCAAGUCGAGCGGUAAGGCCCUUUCGGGGGUACACGAGCGGCGAACGGGUGAGUAACACGUGGGUGACCUGCCCUCAGCUCUGGGAUAAGCCUAGGGAAACCGGGUCUAAUACCGGAUAUGACUCCAUGACGCAUGUUGUGGGGUGGAAAGCCUUGUGCGGCUGAGGAUGGGCCCGCGGCCUAUCAGCUUGUUGGUGGGGUGAUGGCCUACCAAGGCGACGACGGGUAGCCGGCCUGAGAGGAUGGCCAGCCACAUU